Molecule: ribosomal RNA, 326 nt
Filed under: uncultured bacterium
Lineage: Bacteria
Description: bacterial SSU rRNA
Rfam family: Bacterial small subunit ribosomal RNA
Source: RNAcentral
AGAGUUUGAUCCUGGCUCAGAUUGAACGCUGGCGGCGUGCUUAACACAUGCAAGUCGAACGCGAAAGGGGCUUCGGCCCUGAGUAAAGUGGCGCACGGGUGAGUAACGCGUGGAUAAUCUGCCCUUAUGAUCGGGAUAACAGUUGGAAACGGCUGCUAAUACCGGAUACGCUCAAGAUGAACUUUUUGAGGAAAGAUGGCCUCUGCUUGCAUGCUAUCGCGUAAGGAUGAGUCCGCGUCCCAUUAGCUUGUUGGCGGGGUAACGGCCCACCAAGGCAACGAUGGGUANCCGAUUUGANAGGAUGAUCGGCCACACUGGAACUGAAA